RNAcentral lists this unclassified non-coding RNA (1699 nucleotides) under Hevea brasiliensis (rubber tree). Lineage: Eukaryota; Viridiplantae; Streptophyta; Magnoliopsida; Malpighiales; Euphorbiaceae. The record is from RNAcentral.
AUCAAAUCAGAAAAGUGCGUGUGACCGACGGUAACGCGAUCGCAAUUACCCAAACACCACCAAUCAGUUCUCUUCCUUCGCAACGGUACAAGCUCAGACUCUAUCGACGUUUGGGACUUCUCGAAGAGGAGCCUCCUGUGGUUCUUCUUCUUCUUCUUCUUCACAUUCGAAAUUCUCGUUGAUCUGCCUCUUCCGAUCCCUUAAUUCUGUGUGUUGAAAAUGUACGGUUUCGAGGCUCUAACUUUCAACAUUCACGGAGGCUACCUGGAGGCGAUCGUCAGGGGACACAGAUCAGGCCUUCUCACCGCCGCCGAUUAUAACAAUCUAUGCCAGUGUGAAACCCUUGAUGAUAUUAAGAUGCACCUCACUGCUACCGAGUACGGUCCCUACCUUCAGAACGAGCCUUCUCCAUUGCAUACCACUACAAUUGUGGAAAAAUGCACCCUUAAACUUGUUGAUGAGUACAAGCACAUGUUAUGUCAAGCAACGGAGCCCUUAUCCAUCUUCCUAGAGUAUUGCACAUAUGGCCACAUGAUUGACAAUGUUGUCUUGAUAGUCACUGGAACCUUGCAUGAGAGGGAUGUUCAGGAGCUACUAGAGAAAUGCCACCCUUUAGGCAUGUUUGACAGCAUUGCCACCCUUGCUGUUGCUCAGAAUAUGCGAGAACUUUAUAGAUUGGUGCUUGUGGACACACCAUUGGCUCCAUACUUCUCAGAGUGCAUCACAUCUGAGGAUUUGGAUGACAUGAAUAUUGAAAUUAUGAGGAAUACUCUUUACAAGGCAUAUCUUGAAGACUUUUACAGGUUUUGUCAGAAACUUGGGGGUGCCACAGCCGAGAUAAUGUCUGAUCUCCUUGCCUUUGAGGCUGAUAGAAGAGCUGUCAAUAUUACAAUAAAUAGGUAUUAUUCAUGCUUCUAGUUUUAUGCAUACGGGCUCCUCUUUUGAUGGGGGGAAAAAAGGAAGCACUGACACAUAAAAUUUUGAUUUGCAAUUUCUUUCUUUGAAUUAUAAUGAUUGUUCAAUUUUUUGUUCUUCUGAUUUUGUUGUGGAUCACUUUGUUUAGCAUUGGCACAGAGCUUACCAGGGAUGAUAGAAGAAAAUUAUACUCUAAUUUUGGCUUACUUUACCCCUAUGGGCAUGAAGAACUAGCUGUCUGUGAGGAUUUAGAUCAGGUUCGUGGUGUGAUGGAAAAAUAUCCUCCUUAUCAGUCUAUCUUUUCUAGAUUGUCCUAUGGUGAGAGCCAGCUGCUUGAUAAGGCAUUUUAUGAAGAGGAGGUGAAAAGGCUAUGCUUAUCUUUUGAGCAACAGUUCCAUUAUGCUGUCUUCUUCGCAUACAUGAGGUUGAGGGAGCAGGAGAUUAGGAAUCUGAUGUGGAUAUCAGAAUGCGUGGCUCAGAACCAGAAGUCUAGAGUUCAUGACAGUGUUGUCUUCAUAUUUUAACUGCUUUACACGCCAUUAGAAAUAAUUACCAGUUCUUUUGCAUAAUCUGCUGUAAAUUGCUCUUUCAUAGACAGUGUCGAUCAUUUUAAGUUGAGAUUGCCCAGCUGCACCAUUUUCAGGAUCUGUGUUAAAAAUAAGAUUUUAAAAUAUUUUUUUCUAUGUUUUGGGCGAUUAGUUUGUAUUCGGAUUCAUCAGAUUCCAAUAUAUUAUUCUUGUGGAGAUGAAAUGAUCUUGCUUGGAUCUUGAUUGCUGCAAUAAAA